Molecule: ribosomal RNA, 814 nt
Filed under: uncultured Arthrobacter sp.
Lineage: Bacteria; Bacillati; Actinomycetota; Actinomycetes; Micrococcales; Micrococcaceae
Description: partial 16S ribosomal RNA
Rfam family: Bacterial small subunit ribosomal RNA
Source: RNAcentral
UGCAAGUCGACGAUGNNCCCCAGCUUGCUGGGGGGAUUAGUGGCGAACGGGNGANUAACACGUGAGUAACCUGCCCUUAACUCUGGGAUAAGCCUGGGAAACUGGGUCUAAUACCGGAUAUGACUCCUCAUCGCAUGGUGGGGGGUGGAAAGCUUUAUUGUGGUUUUGGAUGGACUCGCGGCCUAUCAGCUUGUUGGUGAGGUAAUGGCUUACCAAGGCGACGACGGGUAGCCGGCCUGAGAGGGUGACCGGCCACACUGGGACUGAGACACGGCCCAGACUCCUACGGGAGGCAGCAGUGGGGAAUAUUGCACAAUGGGCGCAAGCCUGAUGCAGCGACGCCGCGUGAGGGAUGACGGCCUUCGGGUUGUAAACCUCUUUCAGUAGGGAAGAAGCGAAAGUGACGGUACCUGCAGAAGAAGCGCCGGCUAACUACGUGCCAGCAGCCGCGGUAAUACGUAGGGCGCAAGCGUUAUCCGGAAUUAUUGGGCGUAAAGAGCUCGUAGGCGGUUUGUCGCGUCUGCCGUGAAAGUCCGGGGCUCAACUCCGGAUCUGCGGUGGGUACGGGCAGACUAGAGUGAUGUAGGGGAGACUGGAAUUCCUGGUGUAGCGGUGAAAUGCGCANAUAUCNNNNGAACACCGAUGGCGAANNNAGGUCUCUGGGCNUUAACUGACGCUGAGNANCGAAAGCAUGGGGAGCGAACAGGAUUANAUACCCUGGUAGUCCAUGCCGUAAACGUUGGGCACUNNNGUGGGGGANNUUCCACGUUUUCCGCGCCGNANCUNACGCAUUNAGNGNCCCGCCUGGGGAGUA